This is a long non-coding RNA of Callithrix jacchus (white-tufted-ear marmoset), 562 nucleotides long. RefSeq lists it as uncharacterized. Lineage: Eukaryota; Metazoa; Chordata; Mammalia; Primates; Cebidae. The record is from RefSeq and is a predicted model, not a curated record.
UGAUCAGGUAAGUUUUAGGAAGGAAACUAUGUCAUGAACAAAAGGUGCAGGAGUGAAGGCAGCUAUGGAAUCAAUCCAAGUGUCCACUGAUGGAUGAACAGAUAAAGAAAAUGUCAGCUUUCCAAUCCAUUGUGAUCACUACCAGAGUCUGUCUUUCAGGAAUUGAGACAUCUAAUCACUUUGAGGAAAGAGAAGAAUAUGUGUUCCAACCAUCACAGCAGACUUGUCAGACAUGCGAGAAAAGUAGCCAUCUUGGACUUGGACACCAAUAGCCAAGACUUCAGCCCUGGUCUCCCUCUGACCUGGAGCUGACUGGCUGAGCCCAGCCAACCCUCAAAACCAUAAUGAGUUGUUGUCUAAAGCCACUGAGUUGAGGGGUAGUGUGUCAGGAAGCAAUAGAUACCUGAACUACAGGUAGUGCUAAGAAACAGACCACAGUGGAGCAGGGGGUAAAACCAGUGAGGAAUUGAUUUUAAUAAUCCAGAUGCUCUCAGUGCCUCUUGUUCAGGAAUUCCCAUUGCUCUUCAAAUAAAGUCUAAAGUCCUUAGUAUGGUCUGCAAGG